Molecule: long non-coding RNA, 1356 nt
Organism: Carassius auratus (goldfish)
Lineage: Eukaryota; Metazoa; Chordata; Actinopteri; Cypriniformes; Cyprinidae
Exons: 3
Source: RefSeq, a predicted model, not a curated record
AAAUGUUAAGUAAUUAAAAUGCGUGAUAUCAACAAUAAAAUGUUAAGUUUGUGUCUUUACUUUAAUAUAUCUAGUUUUAAAUUAAUCUGCAUUUGUUCAAAAAACAAGAAAAUUUGUAUUUUAUUGCUUUACAAAAUUAAUCUAAGUAAUCCCAGCCAAGCUUUUUAGGUACACACGCACAACAAACAAUACCUUGUUUUAUUUACUCGCUUGGUACAAAAAAAAAAAAAACCUCCCCUUCCUGUUUCGUUGGUCUGGAAACCCCUUGCAUUCCUAACGAAGACGAAGACGAACACGCGGACUGAAUUUAAGGUGAUUCUCCUGACAAUAGGCUACACUGGAUAAAGGUUUGUGAUGACGAUGAUGCUGCAGCCAUCCAAGAGGCCAUUACUUCAUUUGUGCUCAACAUCUUUGUGGUCAGCAAAGCCAGGGAUGGAGGUCUCGAGAAGAAAGUUGGAAUAGCCAUUGAGGGAGCGGAGGUCCUUUUUUGCAUUCCAAGUGUAGCACAUGCUUGCUCCUACCUUAUGGGCCUUAUUUAUGCCUUGGAACUCAGCUACCCAAAGAAACUUAAAUAUACCUUUGAGGUAUUUCAGAAGAUCUUCCUGGAGCUGGAGGAUGUUAACAAAAACAUGUCCUCCAAAAUCCACGAUCUCAAGAUCAGCUUACUGGCCUAAAAGCGAUACAGACAUUGUUGAAGUUGGAGGGUUCGAGUUAGGUCCCUCUGUUAAAGUUUUACAGUUCAAUUUCUCAGGUUCUCCUAAUGCACUCUCAAUAGUAACUACUAUUGCAUUUUCAUAUAGGGACCAUGUUUUGUAAGUCUGUUAAUGAGCAUUUGAAGGAAACAUGACUGUGAAGAAGUGAGAAACGCAUGGAAAACAUUUUGCACAAUGUGAAUUUAUUGUAAUUUUAUUUUGAUAAGCUAACCUACCCAAAGAAACUGAAAUGUAGCCUUUCCAGAAGAUCUCCCUGGAGCUAGAGGACAGGAACCAAAAAAUGUUUCCCAAAGUUCAUGAUCUCAUGAUCAGCUUACUGGCCUUACAUUGUUGAAUGUAGAGGGUUUGAGUCCCUCUGGUAAAGUUUUACUGUUCAAUUUCUCAGGUUUUUUUCAGUGCACUUUCUCAAGUCACACUAAUCCUAUUUCAUAUAGGGAACAUGUUUGUGAUUCUGUUGAUGUUAAAGGUGCAGUUGAAGGAAAGAUGACAGUUAAGAAGUCAGAAACUAUAUUGCACAAUGUGAGUUUUUUUCAAUAGAAACCCAAAGAAACUGAAAUGUAGGUUUCUUAGAAGAUCUCCAUUGUCACACGGGGAUUAUACAUAUGAUCAUACAUGUGCAAGCGUGUUGUUUUAAAGUCUUUAG